AUAAGGAGCCCCAUCCAUGCUAACCUUCACAUAAAUCCUCGUCGUCUCGGUCUCGACCUCGACCUCCGCCUCCUUCUUAGCCUUAAAGCUAAUAUUCCUCCAAUAUGACCUCACCGGCGGCCAUCCCACUACUUGUGUUUUUGACAGGGGUGCCGCAUGGCGGACACUCCCAACAGAGCCAACCUCCGACGAAGCCUCGUUCGAAGGGCAUUCCUCGGCGUCCUCGACCAACAACCUUUUGCUACCCCUAGGUGUAAUGUGGGCUGGUUUCUCCGACAAAUCGACACCCGGGAGACCGAGUCGCAACUCGGUGGCCUUAAGGUUGUCGAAAUCAGACUCGUAACUCGGUAUGCCUUCCAUGUUCUUCUCAGGCACCAGCGAGGUCUCCG
RNAcentral lists this unclassified non-coding RNA (389 nucleotides) under Hevea brasiliensis (rubber tree). Lineage: Eukaryota; Viridiplantae; Streptophyta; Magnoliopsida; Malpighiales; Euphorbiaceae. The record is from RNAcentral.